This 253-nucleotide ribosomal RNA is filed under the name uncultured bacterium. Its description in RNAcentral is "partial 16S ribosomal RNA". It matches the Rfam family "Bacterial small subunit ribosomal RNA", at positions 524 to 776 of the family's 1533-position model. The record is from RNAcentral.
UACGAAGGGGGCUAGCGUUGCUCGGAUUUACUGGGCGUAAAGGGCGCGUAGGCGGACAUUUAAGUCAGGGGUGAAAUCCCGGGGCUCAACCUCGGAACUACCUUUGAUACUGGGUGUCUUGAGUAUGAGAGAGGUAUGUGGAACUCCGAGUGUAGAGGUGAAAUUCGUAGAUAUUCGGAAGAACACCAGUGGCGAAGGCGACAUACUGGCUCAUUACUGACGCUGAGGCGCGAAAGCGUGGGGAGCAAACAGG